CCUACGGGAGGCAGCAGUGGGGAAUAUUGGGCAAUGGGCGCAAGCCUGACCCAGCAACGCCGCGUGAAGGAAGAAGGCUUUCGGGUUGUAAACUUCUUUUAAGGGGGAAGAGCAGAAGACGGUACCCCUUGAAUAAGCCACGGCUAACUACGUGCCAGCAGCCGCGGUAAUACGUAGGUGGCAAGCGUUGUCCGGAUUUACUGGGUGUAAAGGGCGUGCAGCCGGAGAGACAAGUCAGAUGUGAAAUCCACGGGCUCAACCCGUGAACUGCAUUUGAAACUGGUUCCCUUGAGUGUCGGAGAGGUGAUCGGAAUUCCUGGUGUAGCGGUGAAAUGCGUAGAUAUAAGGAAGAACACCAGUGGCGAAGGCGGAUUACUGGACGAUAACUGACGGUGAGGCGCGAAAGCGUGGGGAGCAAACAGGAUUAGAUACCCGGGUAGUC
RNAcentral lists this ribosomal RNA (442 nucleotides) under uncultured bacterium. Its description in RNAcentral is "partial 16S ribosomal RNA". It matches the Rfam family "Bacterial small subunit ribosomal RNA", at positions 338 to 795 of the family's 1533-position model. The record is from RNAcentral.